AAAGUCGUAACAAGGUUUCCGUAGGUGAACCUGCGGAAGGAUCAUUAUUGAAUACACUUGGAUUGGGUUGUUGCUGGCUUUUAUGGAGCAUGUGCACGCCUGUUCCAUUUUCUUCAACCUCCUGUGCACCUUUUGUAGACUUGAACAGCUUUCGAGAAAGGUUUUUUCCUCCUCGGUCUGAGAACUUGCUGUCUGAAAGGCUCAGCUGUUCUUGUGUUUCUGGUCUAUGUUUUAUCUAUACUCCUUAAAAUGUAAAAGAAUGUUUGUAAUUGGCUUUUCAUGCCUUUAAAAACAAGUACAACUUUCAACAACGGAUCUCUUGGCUCUC
This 328-nucleotide unclassified non-coding RNA is filed under the name Basidiomycota sp. Its description in RNAcentral is "partial contains small subunit ribosomal RNA, internal transcribed spacer 1, and 5.8S ribosomal RNA". The stretch from base 1 to 47 matches the Rfam family "Eukaryotic small subunit ribosomal RNA", at positions 1785 to 1831 of the family's 1831-position model. Lineage: Eukaryota; Fungi; Basidiomycota. The record is from RNAcentral.